This 422-nucleotide ribosomal RNA is filed under the name Comatricha nigra. RNAcentral describes it as "SSU rRNA". It matches the Rfam family "Eukaryotic small subunit ribosomal RNA", at positions 76 to 405 of the family's 1831-position model. Lineage: Eukaryota; Evosea; Eumycetozoa; Stemonitida; Stemonitidae. The record is from RNAcentral.
UCUCUCUGAAUCUGCGAACGGCUCCGCAAACCAGUUGUAAACGCCGGCAUGUCCCGCUCGCGGCCGGCCCCUCACGGGGUUGGCCCGGGCAAACAUAUGGAUAACCGUGGUAAUUCUGAGGCUAAUACAUGACAAUAAAAGCCUGCUGCUUGAGCUGCCGGUGCCUUCGGGUGUCGGAUGUGAUCGGCAGCGGGGGAUGUGCGCAUUAAAGCUGGGUAAAUCGGGAAAGAGCGCAUGUUCGGACCAUCGCGAAGGGCCCUGCUGGGGCGGGGGCGGCUCACGCUGCACCUGCCCUGCUAAGCCUGGUGGUGCGUGCUUAGUGCUUCUGACCUAUCAACUAGAUGGCAGCAUACGGGACAUGCCAUGGUGACAACGGGUACAGAGGAUUAGGGUUCGAUCCUGGAGAGUGGGCCUGAGAGAUU